AUUCCAGCUCCAAUAGCGUAUAUUAAAGUUGUUGCGGUUAAAAAGCUCGUAGUUGGAUUUCUGCCGAGGACGACCGGUCCGCCCUCUGGGUGAGUAUCUGGUUCGGCCUGGGCAUCUUCUUGGAGAACGUAUCUGCACUUGACUGUGUGGUGCGGUAUCCAGGACUUUUACUUUGAGGAAAUUAGAGUGUUUCAAGCAGGCACACGCCUUGAAUACAUUAGCAUGGAAUAAUAAGAUAGGACCUUGGUUCUAUUUUGUUGGUUUCUAGAGCUGCAGUAAUGAUUAAUAGGGAUAAUUGGGGGCAUUCGUAUUAUUACGUCAGAGGUGAAAUUCUUGGAUUGUAAUACGACGAACUACUGCGAAAGCAUUUGCCAAGGAUGUUUUCAUUG
RNAcentral lists this ribosomal RNA (389 nucleotides) under Kareniaceae sp. Its description in RNAcentral is "partial small subunit ribosomal RNA". It matches the Rfam family "Eukaryotic small subunit ribosomal RNA", at positions 582 to 975 of the family's 1831-position model. Lineage: Eukaryota; Dinophyceae; Gymnodiniales; Kareniaceae. The record is from RNAcentral.